GGAUCAUUAUCGAAUUAUAAGGCUCUGGCUGUGCUGGCCCCUCGGGGCAUGUGCACGUCUCUGCCCGUUAAUCCCAACCAACCCCUGUGAACCAACCGUGGGGCGCUCUGUCACGGAGCCGUCCCAUGUCUUAUCAUAAACACUGUAUGUCUUCAGAAUGUAAAAUCUAUGUCCUCGCCCUAAAAAAGCGUUGAUAAAAAAUUAAUACAACUUUCAACAACGGAUCUCUUGGCUCUCGCAUCGAUGAAGAACGCAGCGAAAUGCGAUAAGUAAUGUGAAUUGCAGAUUUUCAGUGAAUCAUCGAAUCUUUGAACGCACCUUGCGCUCCUUGGUAUUCCGAGGAGCAUGCCUGUUUGAGUGUCAUUAAAUUCUCAACCCCGAUCGGAUUUGCUUUCGAUUCGGAGGCUUGGAUUGUGGAGCGUGCUGGCCCCUCCCCGGGUCGGCUCCUCUCAAAUGCAUUCGCGGAAUUGACUUUGGUCCGUUUCGGUCAUCAGUGUGAUAAUCAUGUUGCGCUGUUGGCUAGGAUCGAGGUGCCGCAUACAAUGGUCUUCGGACAACUUCAUAUCAAUUUGACCUCAAAUCAGGUAGGACUACCCGCUGAACUUAAGCAUAUCAAUAAGCGGAGGAAAAGAAACUAACAAGGAUUCCCCUAGUAACUGCGAGUGAAGCGGGAAAAGCUCAAAUUUAAAAUCUGGCCGUCUCCGAUGGUCCGAGUUGUAAUCUGGAGAAGCGUUUUCCGCGUCGGACCGUGUACAAGUCUUCUGGAAUGGAGCGUCAUAGAGGGUGAGAAUCCCGUCUCUGACACGGACUACCGAUGCUUUUGUGAUGCGCUCUCGAAGAGUCGAGUUGUUUGGGAAUGCAGCUCAAAAUGGGUGGUAAAUUCCAUCUAAAGCUAAAUAUUGGCGAGAGACCGAUAGCGAACAAGUACCGUGAGGGAAAGAUGAAAAGCACUUUGGAAAGAGAGUUAAACAGUACGUGAAAUUGUUGAAAGGGAAACGCUUGAAGUCAGUCGCGUUGGCCGAGACUCAGCCUGGCUUGCCUGGUGUACUUCUCGGUCGACGGGUCAGCAUCAGUUUUGACCGCCGGAUAAAGGUUGGAGGAAUGUGGCAUCUCUCGGGAUGUGUUAUAGCCUCUGAUUCGCAUACGGCGAUUGGGACUGAGGAACUCAGCACGCCUUUAUGGUCGGGGU
This 1189-nucleotide ribosomal RNA is filed under the name uncultured fungus. RNAcentral's name for it is "eukaryotic LSU rRNA". The stretch from base 571 to 1189 matches the Rfam family "Eukaryotic large subunit ribosomal RNA", at positions 1 to 624 of the family's 3401-position model. The record is from RNAcentral. Lineage: Eukaryota; Fungi.